This 479-nucleotide ribosomal RNA is filed under the name uncultured bacterium. RNAcentral describes it as "partial 16S ribosomal RNA". It matches the Rfam family "Bacterial small subunit ribosomal RNA", at positions 28 to 523 of the family's 1533-position model. The record is from RNAcentral.
GACGAACGCUGGCGGCGUGCUUAACACAUGCAAGUCGAACGAUGAAGUUCCUUCGGGAAUGGAUUAGUGGCGAACGGGUGAGGAACACGUGAGAAACCUGCCUUUCAUUUUGGGAUAACUCCGGGAAACCGGGGCUAAACCGAAUACUCCGUCUCGGCGGCAUCGCUGAGCCGGGAAAAAAUUUUGAUGAAAGAUGGUCUCGCGGCCUAUCAGCUAGUUGGUGAGGUAAUGGCUCACCAAGGCAACGACGGGUAGACGGCCUGAGAGGGCGACACGCCACACUGGGACUGAGACACGGCCCAGACUCCGACGGGAGGCAGCAGUGGGGAAUAUUGGGCAAUGGGCGCAAGCCUGACCCAGCGACGCCGCGUGAGGGAUGAAGGCCUUCGGGUUGUAAACCUCUUUCAGUAGGGAAGAAGCGAAAGUGACGGUACCUAAAGAAGAAGCACCGGCUAACUAUGUGCCAGCCGCCGCCGUAA